GAUGAACGCUGGCGGCGUGCCUAAUACAUGCAAGUCGAGCGAACGGACGAGAAGCUUGCUUCUCUGAUGUUAGCGGCGGACGGGUGAGUAACACGUGGAUAACCUACCUAUAAGACUGGGAUAACUUCGGGAAACCGGAGCUAAUACCGGAUAAUAUUUUGAACCGCAUGGUUCAAAAGUGAAAGACGGUCUUGCUGUCACUUAUAGAUGGAUCCGCGCUGCAUUAGCUAGUUGGUAAGGUAACGGCUUACCAAGGCAACGAUGCAUAGCCGACCUGAGAGGGUGAUCGGCCACACUGGAACUGAGACACGGUCCAGACUCCUACGGGAGGCAGCAGUAGGGAAUCUUCCGCAAUGGGCGAAAGCCUGACGGAGCAACGCCGCGUGAGUGAUGAAGGUCUUCGGAUCGUAAAACUCUGUUAUUAGGGAAGAACAUAUGUGUAAGUAACUGUGCACAUCUUGACGGUACCUAAUCAGAAAGCCACGGCUAACUACGUGCCAGCAGCCGCGGUAAUACGUAGGUGGCAAGCGUUAUCCGGAAUUAUUGGGCGUAAAGCGCGCGUAGGCGGUUUUUUAAGUCUGAUGUGAAAGCCCACGGCUCAACCGUGGAGGGUCAUUGGAAACUGGAAAACUUGAGUGCAGAAGAGGAAAGUGGAAUUCCAUGUGUAGCGGUGAAAUGCUCAGAGAUAUGGAGGAACACCAGUGGCGAAGGCGACUUUCUGGUCUGUAACUGACGCUGAUGUGCGAAAGCGUGGGGAUCAAACAGGAUUAGAUACCCUGGUAGUCCACGCCGUAAACGAUGAGUGCUAAGUGUUAGGGGGUUUCCGCCCCUUAGUGCUGCAGCUAACGCAUUAAGCACUCCGCCUGGGGAGUACGACCGCAAGGUUGAAACUCAAAGGAAUUGACGGGGACCCGCACAAGCGGUGGAGCAUGUGGUUUAAUUCGAAGCAACGCGAAGAACCUUACCAAAUCUUGACAUCCUUUGACAACUCUAGAGAUAGAGCCUUCCCCUUCGGGGGACAAAGUGACAGGUGGUGCAUGGUUGUCGUCAGCUCGUGUCGUGAGAUGUUGGGUUAAGUCCCGCAACGAGCGCAACCCUUAAGCUUAGUUGCCAUCAUUAAGUUGGGCACUCUAAGUUGACUGCCGGUGACAAACCGGAGGAAGGUGGGGAUGACGUCAAAUCAUCAUGCCCCUUAUGAUUUGGGCUACACACGUGCUACAAUGGACAAUACAAAGGGCAGCGAAACCGCGAGGUCAAGCAAAUCCCAUAAAGUUGUUCUCAGUUCGGAUUGUAGUCUGCAACUCGACUACAUGAAGCUGGAACCGCUAGUAAUCGUAGAUCAGCAUGCUACGGUGAAUACGUUCCCGGGUCU
RNAcentral lists this ribosomal RNA (1372 nucleotides) under uncultured bacterium. RNAcentral's name for it is "bacterial SSU rRNA". It matches the Rfam family "Bacterial small subunit ribosomal RNA", at positions 28 to 1381 of the family's 1533-position model. The record is from RNAcentral.